GGCUAGGAGUGGAAGUGCAGCGAUGUACGGAGCGGACUAGUACUAAUCGGUCGAGGACUUAACCAAA
RNAcentral lists this ribosomal RNA (67 nucleotides) under Vagococcus carniphilus. RNAcentral describes it as "partial 23S ribosomal RNA". Lineage: Bacteria; Bacillati; Bacillota; Bacilli; Lactobacillales; Enterococcaceae. The record is from RNAcentral.